GAUGGACCCGCGGCGCAUUAGCUAGUUGGUGAGGUAACGGCUCACCAAGGCGACGAUGCGUAGCCGACCUGAGAGGGUGAUCGGCCACACUGGGACUGAGACACGGCCCAGACUCCUACGGGAGGCAGCAGUAGGGAAUCUUCCGCAAUGGACGAAAGUCUGACGGAGCAACGCCGCGUGAGUGAUGAAGGUUUUCGGAUCGUAAAGCUCUGUUGUUAGGGAAGAACAAGUGCCGUUCGAAUAGGGCGGUACCUUGACGGUACCUAACCAGAAAGCCACGGCUAACUACGUGCCAGCAGCCGCGGUAAUACGUAGGUGGCAAGCGUUGUCCGGAAUUAUUGGGCGUAAAGGGCUCGCAGGCGGUUUCUUAAGUCUGAUGUGAAAGCCCCCGGCUCAACCGGGGAGGGUCAUUGGAAACUGGGGAACUUGAGUGCAGAAGAGGAGAGUGGAAUUCCACGUGUAGCGGUGAAAUGCGUAGAGAUGUGGAGGAACACCAGUGGCGAAGGCGACUCUCUGGUCUGUAACUGACGCUGAGGAGCGAAAGCGUGGGGAGCGAACAGGAUUAGAUACCCUGGUAGUCCACGCCGUAAACGAUGAGUGCUAAGUGUUAGGGGGUUUCCGCCCCUUAGUGCUGCAGCUAACGCAUUAAGCACUCCGCCUGGGGAGUACGGUCGCAAGACUGAAACUCAAAGGAAUUGACGGGGGCCCGCACAAGCGGUGGAGCAUGUGGUUUAAUUCGAAGCAACGCGAAGAACCUUACCAGGUCUUGACAUCCUCUGACAAUCCUAGAGAUAGGACGUCCCCUUCGGGGGCAGAGUGACAGGUGGUGCAUGGUUGUCGUCAGCUCGUGUCGUGAGAUGUUGGGUUAAGUCCCGCAACGAGCGCAACCCUUGAUCUUAGUUGCCAGCAUUCAGUUGGGCACUCUAAGGUGACUGCCGGUGACAAACCGGAGGAAGGUGGGGAUGACGUCAAAUCAUCAUGCCCCUUAUGACCUGGGCUACACACGUGCUACAAUGGACAGAACAAAGGGCAGCGAAACCGCGAGGUUAAGCCAAUCCCACAAAUCUGUUCUCAGUUCGGAUCGCAGUCUGCAACUCGACUGCGUGAAGCUGGAAUCGCUAGUAAUCGCGG
RNAcentral lists this ribosomal RNA (1131 nucleotides) under Bacillus subtilis. RNAcentral's name for it is "bacterial SSU rRNA". It matches the Rfam family "Bacterial small subunit ribosomal RNA", at positions 224 to 1347 of the family's 1533-position model. The record is from RNAcentral. Lineage: Bacteria; Bacillati; Bacillota; Bacilli; Caryophanales; Bacillaceae.